This 253-nucleotide ribosomal RNA is filed under the name uncultured bacterium. RNAcentral describes it as "partial 16S ribosomal RNA". It matches the Rfam family "Bacterial small subunit ribosomal RNA", at positions 524 to 776 of the family's 1533-position model. The record is from RNAcentral.
UACGGAGGGAGCUAGCGUUGUUCGGAAUUACUGGGCGUAAAGUGCGCGUAGGCGGCUUUGUAAGUUAGAGGUGAAAGCCCGGAGCUCAACUCCGGAACUGCCUUUAAAACUGCAUCGCUUGAAUCCAGGAGAGGUGAGUGGAAUUCCGAGUGUAGAGGUGAAAUUCGUAGAUAUUCGGAAGAACACCAGUGGCGAAGGCGGCUCACUGGACUGGUAUUGACGCUGAGGUGCGAAAGCGUGGGGAGCAAACAGG